Long non-coding RNA from Mesocricetus auratus (golden hamster), 7460 nucleotides. RefSeq lists it as uncharacterized. Lineage: Eukaryota; Metazoa; Chordata; Mammalia; Rodentia; Cricetidae. The transcript has 2 exons. The record is from RefSeq and is a predicted model, not a curated record.
CAUAGCUAUCAAUAUCUUGGCUUUAGGUAGAAAAUAAUCACUUUAGUAUGUCCCAAGGAAGGCACUGUAAGAAACACUUUGAAACAAUCCAGAUUUCCUCCAUCCCAUUUCAGAUGCUGUCCUCACAAUUCACACUCAAGGAACAACUUAACGUUUCUGGAUUCUGAACUGAAAUCUAAGGACACAGAAAAGUAUCUGUGUUGAACCUGUGUGUGAUCCUAACACAUAAAAUGGAAAAUGAGAUGCACAGAGGACUCUCCCGUAUAUUACAUCUCACACGUGAAUUAAUCAUCUGUCAAAUAUCUCAGCGACAUUCGCUCUGUAUUACAGAAUGUUUGAACACAUUUUCAGUUCAUAAGAUGAAAAAAGUCCUCAUUUCAUUGACUUAGAGAAAGGGGUGAGUCAGCAGCAGAACGCCCCCUAGCCAGUCACUUCCCACACAGAUGUCACUUCCUGUUCCCGGAGGUGCCACGGUGUCAGCUGGGAGCAGUCUGGGAAUCCGGACAGAUGGGUGAGGCCACAAUUGGAGACACUGAGCUCAGCUGCUCCCACCUCAGCAUGUCGGCCUAGGCUCUGGAGUGGGAGCUGGAGGGGAGAGCAGAGGAGCUGCUGGGAUUGCAACUGGUGCAGCUGUGGCUGCUGCUGCUCUAAAAACAUCGACAAUGCUUCCAGUGAUCUUAGGAGCUGCCUCCCCACCUCCAGCCAACCAUCUGGCAUCCCUGCCAGGGAGAUGAGCAGCAGCCUCCCCGAUCUCCAGCUACUGGACAAGAGCAGGGACCCACUCAUGGAGCUAGGAACGGAGCUCCAGUGGCUGCUGCUGCCCCACAGCCAACCAUCUGACAUCCCUGCCAGAGAGGUGAGCAGCAGCCUCCCGGAUCUCCAGCUACUGGACAAGAGCAGGGAGAAGCUCAUGGCUCUGGGACCCCAGCUGCUGACUCCGAGCAGCCUGAGCAGGCUGAUGGACAGGAACACCAGGCUUGGCAACAAGGACUCACCCAUUUUCCACUCUGUCUCAGGCUCCAGAAUGCUCUUCCCCCUGCAGCUCUGCCUUGCACACCUCCAUAUCCCAGAAUUUGUCUGACUCAGAAGAUAAAGCCAGUGAUCAUGCACACAGAAUGCAGAAUGUUCUUCUUCGUUGACAACUUUGGGUGUACACAAAUGAAAGCAAAGCAAAAAUGAUUAUUAAAGAAAAAUGGAGCUUGAAUUUGAUUAUAAAGCUCAGUGGUUUCAGUUAAAUGUCCAUGCACGAGCUGCAAAGAUUUGUAAGGUUUUGCAUUUCAUGUAUCUGUUCAGCAUGAUUUAAUCCAAUUUCCUGUUUAGAUUUUUGAAUAUAAUUUAUUCUUAAUAGCCAUUCAAAAUUUAGCUGGUUAGUCACAAUUUUCACCUAAGUCUUUGAUGAGAAGUUAACAGAAUGGUAUAUUUGUUUGAUGAGUCAUACUCAGCCUGGAGAAUGUCAUCUGAGACAGUUGAGGUGACUAAAGUAAGACUUCAUGACACUUAUACUACCAGAGUUGUUCUGUUUGCCUGAAAUAUUUGCCAUAAAUAGAAUGAGCCUUUGCCUUGAGUCACCCCUGGGCUUCAGCCUAUGACUAAGAGUAUAUAAAUGAUUAUCACUUUUAAAUGGUAUAUUUAACCUUCAGCUCUUAUUUUGUUUUAUUUUAGUAACUUUAUACAAUCUAUCAGUGACUGGUUACAGUCCCUUACUUGUAGCAGGGACAUAGAGGCUUAUUCUAGAGAUGGAUUUAGAACAAACUGCAACCUUACACAAUGCAAAACAUUUGGGAAUAUACUUUAGCAGACUAGACAAUAAACUGUAUUUAUAAUCCCUGAAUCCCACAGGCCUGAAACUCUUCAUGUAGAAUUUGCUGACCAUGAACUCUGAGGAAGACCUGCCUCUGCCUCCUGGUGAUGGCCUUACAUAUGUACAUGAUGACCUACUUACAUUUCAUUUUAACUUCAUUUUGUUAGCUGCAAUGAUCUCUUGUAAUCAUGCCCUUGGGAUUUAUGGGAGGCUGGAGUCAUGAUACAUCAACUUCCCAGCACAGAGAAUAACUGUAAUUGCCUGAAAAAUCUAAUGUCAAGUAAUCUAAGAAAGGCUGGUUGAUAACAUACAACUAAAUGAAGGAAAGUUGGACAUGAUUGUGCAUACAUACAAACAAGUACUUGGGAGGUAGAGCAGACGAUCAGGAAUUCAAAGUUAACAUAGGAAUCAUAGUAUCGUUGAAGCCAGCUGAGAAUAUACCUGGAACCUUCUCUCAAAGUGGGGGUCAGUUGGGGUGGGAUGUAUUGUAACUUUCAAAUGUGUCUCCUUUGCUUGUGUUGUAUACUAAAUGAAAAGUUUCUCUGCAUUUAAUAGACUAACUACAACUAGAUAUCAUUACAGUUGAAGGUAGUCAAAAGUAAAGCUUAUUAUAUCCAUUCACAAUACAAUAGUUCACAAAGUUGGUAUAACUACUGAACAUUAAGAAAGUAAUAUUGAUAAAAUAGGAAUGAAAAUAACAAAAAUACAGUAUCCUUAAAGAGUAGGAGAAAAAUAGUAGCACAAACUAUUGGCACUGAAGAUUAACAAAAUAUACUAUUGGAUUAUGCAAUAAAACUAAUACUAGUAAUUUAAUUGGGCAUUAGGAAAAAUAUUUAACUCUCACUUCUGAGAAUUAAAAAACAGAACUGUAAUAACAUAAAGACAGGUUUGUAAGAACUAAAUGAAGAUUUAGUUUGCAUUAGGCAGUCAGGUGAGCAUAUGAAACAUUCUUUGUUAGAAUCGAGUUUUAUGCUGAAAAUAUUUGCAUGUUUGUUUUCAUAUAUAUAUGUAUAUAAUUUUGUUUUAGUUGUUGAUUUUAGGAGUUUAUAUUAGUAGUCUAUGUGGUAAUUCAGGUUUGUGUGUGUUUUUGUUGUGUCAUGAAACAGGAGUUUCAUGACUGCAGUUGUGAAACGCUGCUAUAGUGAGUCCCCUUACCUUUUCCUCAUAAUAGUGUGGUAAGAUAAUUUUUAUUUUUCUUUUUUUAGAGAUAUUUUUCUGUGUUUACAAAAGUAAUGUUACUUCUGCUAAUGUAUUUCAUUAUACUGGUUAUAAAGUUGCUUUUUUCACAGUGAGCAACAUUAAGCUGCCUAUUCCAAAAUUAGGAAAGGAACAGAUGACUUGGUAGGUUCCCAUGUGUCAAACAGUAAAUAUUUCAUAAUUAGAUGACUUUAGUUAAGCAACAUAGAAUGUUUUCAUGGAAAACAUUCAGAAUGAUGGGGCCAUACACUCCUGGAUUAAAUACUGUAGUUUCUUGAUUGAUUAAUAUCCUGACCUAAGUAAGAACGUGAGUAGUCUUUUAGGAAUUUACUUUUAAAUAGAGCAUCUAACAAUGCAUACACUUUCCAGCUGCAUAGAAAGAGGUGUACUAAUUCCAGCCUGUGACAUAUAAUUGUAUUCUUUGGUGGUCUUUCACAAAGUGUUCAUUGUGUUUUUUUAAUAUGUAUAAUUAAACUCUGUGAAGAGUGUGACAAAUCAGUUCUUUCCGCAGAGAUGUAGAUUACAAGGACAGAUGCAGUACAUUGUUCCUCUGGAAUAAGCUGUAGUCCAAGCCUAUAGCAUAGAUUUUCUUUGGUACAAUCUUCAUUGGUAGUUGGUUUAUCCAUUUUUUUGUUUUUGUUUUUUUUUUUUGGUAUGGUUUUAUCUUUUUAACCCAUCGGUGGCCCUAUUUUUGACAAAUGCUGCCAGUGAUUGCUAUUUUUUUGUCUUUUACAUACUUUAUCUUUUUAAAAAACUGACUAUAGACAUUAAUUUAGAGAGAAAGGAAUUAGAUCCCAAGUUAAAAAAAUGUAGUUUAAGUUGUAGUGUGUCUCGCUAGUUACAAAUCCCAUAUUAAUCCAACAAUGAAAUCUUAGAGAUUCAGAAUCAGCAAGGGGGCAAUUUUCAUAAUAUGGCUAUUUUAUUUUCUGAGACAGGGCAGUACAAACCUUGAACUCGUCAUGUAGAAAACUCUGUCCUUUUGUAAUACUCGUGUCUGUUCUUCUCAAUCAUGGGAUUACAUGUGUAAACCAUUAGCCUGGCUAAAUAUUUUACUUAGAAAUGUAUCAAAGCUGUCUCUUCCUAAAAAUUUUGAUUUCUAAAUAAUCCUUUCCAAAAUAAAAAAGUAUACUGUAGAUUGACUUCAAAUAAGAGAAAUUUGUGUAAUAUAAAAACAAUAAAUGUAGUUCUGAUUAGGACAAGAACUUAUUGCAGAGUAGUUCCAACACAGAGUGGAAAUACAGGGUUAAAAAUGAAGACUCAUGAAGAUACUGUUUGCUGGAAUGUUAAUUAAAAUAAAUCAUUUAAGGCAGCAAAAUAUAAUAGAAGUCAUUUGCCAGGGAAUCCAAUGAUCUAAGAAACUCUGUAGAGUAAAAGGGAGUUACCUUAAAUUGAUUCACCAAAUUUCCUACUACUAAUAUCUGAAAUACUUAUCAAUAAGUUUAUGACUGCUGUUUUUAUUGAGUCUUCCUGGCAAUUCUGUUGCUCACUGCCAAGCAGAACAAAUUAGCUGUAUGCUUUCUUUCAGUCUUGCUCUUCCCAUAGUUCCUAUUGGAAAGAGUUCUUUUUUGCCUGUUUUAUAAUACAGCAGGGAAGACUUAGUUAAUGUUUACCUUUUGGUUGCUUUUCAAGAAAUUACACAUUAAAUUUUAGUAGUAGCUAUUUACAUAAAAACAUAUUGAUUAAUCUUUAAGUUUCCAUGUGAGUGCUUGCAGAUACAGUAUUACCAAUAAAAGUAUAUGUAUAGGUCAUCAGGUGAUCAUUUAAAGGGUGCUUUGUUAGAAUCCAGUUGUAUGCUGAGAAUAUUUGCAUGUUAGGUUUGCAUAUGUAUUUAAUUCUUAUUUUAGUUUAUUAUUAUAUGAGAUUAUAUUAGUAGACUAUAUGGUAAUUAAGUUUUGGUGUGUGUUUGUGUUAUUUCAUGAAACAGGAGUUUCAUGACUGCAGUUGUGAAACGCUGCUAUAGUGAGUCCCCUUACCUUUUCCUCAUAAUGGUGUAGUAAGAUCAUUUUUAGUUUUUUAGACAUUUUUUCUGUGUUUCUAAAAAUGAUGCUUCAACUGCUAAUGUAAGUUUAUGAUAGUAGUUAUAAAGUUGUUGUUUAUUUCACACUGAGCAACAUCAAGCUGCCUAUUCCAAAAUUAGGAAAGGCUCAGAAGACUAAACGGGUUCCCACGUAUCAAACUGUAAAUAUUUUGUAAUUAGAUGACUUUAGUUAAGCAACAUAGAAUGUUUUCAUGGAAAACAUUCAGAAUGAUGGGGCCAUACACUCCUGGAUUAAAUCCUGUAUUUUUUAUUGAUAAUCAUCCUUACCUAAGUAAUAAUGUGAGUAGUAUUUUAGGAAUUACCCUUUCCAGCCUCCUAGAAAGAGGUAUACUUUUUCUUCUUUCAUAAAUCUAGAUAUUCUUGCCUAUGAUAUAUAAAUGUUUUGUAUAGUCCUCUUGUAACUAAGUUUUUAUUGUGCAUUUUGAUGCUUACAGUUUAAACUAUGUAAAUAGUGUGCCAAAUCACAUUUUUUGCCAGAAAUAGUGAUUAUAGAGACAGAUUCAGGUUAUUGUACAUGUUAAAAAAGAUACAUUCUUUGCCUAACAUUGAUAGCUUUUAUUGAAAUCCUCAUUGGUAGCUUUUCUACAUUUUGGUUGUUUUUUUGUUUGGUUGGUUGGUUGUUGAUUUUUCUAUCCAGUUUGGCAUUAACAUUGGCCAGAGGUGCAAAUAAUUGCUAAGUUUUUUUCUUCAUUUUCAAAAUUAUCAUUAAAAAAAACUGACUAUAUACAUUACUUAAUGAGACAGGAAUUGGUAAUCUCAAUAUAUGAUCGACUUCUUAAGACAUCAUGUUACAUCACAGACAAAGAUGGGCAUCAAAGAAAGUCAUUGUGGAGUGUGCCUUUGACAUGACAGCACCACCAAUUUGGACAAGAAUCUUCACUUCAUGGAAUUCUUGACAGCAAGUUGUCAAAACAGGACAAGCAUGUUACAAAGAAAUGUUACUGCUGAACAUGCAGAGGAACAGUAUGAUUACCCAUUAACCUGCUUUAUUGAAACAUCAGCCAAACAUUCUGGGGCUAUAAGCUGAAGAGGGAUUCCACAAUGUUAAAGAGGAUCCUUGAAUGACAUUCUAGACAUCGAGAUCUCACUGUCAAUUCUAGAGUAUAUAUAUUACAUUUCUGUAAACUUUUGUGGUGUUGAAGACAGAUAGUUACAGUUAUGGAUUUUCAUAGUUAUGGUAAUAAAUAAUUUGCAUACAAAGCUUUAAACUGACAUAAAUAGGAAGUUGAUAUAGUGUUUUCUUUAAAUUUGCCAAAUGUUAAUGGACUAAAUAUAUUAACUGUAGUUUUUUGCUUACUACAUCUUCUAACGCAUAAUUGUAUGAUUUUAAAUGUAAACUUCGUUUGUUUUUCCAGACUCAAAUAGAUGAUGUGUUAUGUCCUUCUGUUUAAUGUGACUAUGUUUCUCUUCUUUGUUGAUGAAUUAAACUGUGUUUGCCAAAUGCCAGACAGGAUAUAGCAAGGGAGAAUGUAUAGGCAAUAUGAAAUUCUGAGAGAGGAAUAUGUAGAGCAGAUCUUCAGACAGAUGCUAUGUAGCUUCUGCGAAGAUAGGUUGCUGGUUCAUUUUCUGGUCAGCCCAGACAAUCUGCAGAUUCACUGACUAAUUCAAAUCGGUUAGUAAUUAGAUGGAGCUAGCCUGUGCUAAGGACAAAUAGUUUAUAUUUUACAUUGCCCUCUGUGUGUUUAUUUGAGAGUGCAGUGUGGCAGAAUCAAGAUGAACACUAAAUUCGGCCUACACAUUACUGUUAGUGGAAAAAUUACUGAGUUGCCUUGUUUUGUGAAUAUGGAUGGUAGAAAAUUCAUCUUCUCACAGAUCACAUGUUCAGCACUGUGUUCCUGAGAAACAGUGCUGACCUCAAUCAGCACUUUCUACAUGUCAUAUGCAUAUUUGCAUGGAGUUUUUUGAAUCCUCUGCCCAAUUGUUGUCUGCUAGCAACAACACAAUGGGAAAACAAGGGGGGGAAUUUUCCACAUAACCAGUCCUAGCUUUUCAUAAAUUUGCGGGUUAAUUAACAACAAAUGUGGCAGAAGAAAUGUUACUUUUAUUUUGGAGAAAUUAUUAUGUAUGCUCUGACUUCUUUAAUUUUUCUGGACCUAAAGUCAUAUUGUUACAUGUGGCUGUGAAAGUGUAUACAUAUUUAAAAUGUAACUCUGAAAUAUAAAUAAGUUCUGGAAUUUUCUGUUUGGAAAAGAUAUAGUUCUAUUGUUUCAAGUUAUGCUGUAAUGGCAAAUAUUCUGAGAACUAUGUUUAAACUAUUCAAAUUCUUGUGCCUCAUUACCAAAAAGAUAUGAAAAAUUAUGAUGUAAUAUUAACUGAGUAUACCCUCAAGAAUUUUGCCUUAAAUGUUGUACAUUGUCUUAAUAGACACAAAAAAAUCUUAGAGAAAUUAAUAUAAAAAGAAAUAAAUAAUUUGGACAUACAUUA